AUUAUGAAUUUCAAAGUUCCGACAGUUUUAAUCAUUUUUUAAUUGUUUUAUUUUAUCGUGUAUAUGUUACGUGUUACUGUGUAUUCUGAUGGAUUUUAAUUAAAAAUGUCCUAUUAUAUGAUUAUCCAGGUGUCACAAUUGCCUAUUAUGGAGAUAAGAAAUUUUUUUAGUAAAAAACCCCGUCUUCAAAACGAAGAACAGGUUCAUGCUUCAACAAGAGAAGAAGCUGAAAUUCCCAGUGAGGAUAACCUCCUAUUAGUAAAAACACUUCUAGUACUAAUGCUGGAUUUCCGGACGAUAUUGCUCAAAUUGAGGAGCCAAUUAAACAAGUUUCUUUGAACCGGUAUCCAAGAGGAGGAAAAAACAGAGCUUUUGUCGCCGAUUGGUUUUAACUAUACAAAUUUACAUACAAAAGAUUUAGACACUUAAUCUAUACUGGAGAAUGUGCAGAAUCGAGCUGGAGCCUCGAAGGAUACAGCUUCCACUUAUAGAAACUGUCCAUAUAGUAGUACAUAAUACAUAUAUGGGUCAUGUUUUUUGGUUGUAUUCCAAUUUGGAUAGAAAAUGGCGUCUCUCGUCAAUGAAACGCCACCUAACAACAAGCGUAAGGUGCUGAAGAGAAAUCAAGUCUAUUUCAAAAGAAUUAGAUGGUAUAUAUGCUUGCGUAUCGAAAAAUAUUAUUGGAAAUGAAAGAAGAGUGGAAAGAACUAGAAUAAUAGUUGAACAAGAUUGGGAAGAAGUCUACGAACAUGACUCCAAUAUAAAUUUGAUAAGAGUACUUAUCAUAGCUGCUACGUUAGUUAUUGUAGGAAUAGGAGGUUACAUAGUUUUCAGGAUGUGGAGGGAAAGAUACUACUAUCCCAGCUAUUUAGGUCAUGAAGAUGAGGGAGGAAGUACAGAAGAAAUUUAUAGAUCACCAACUACAUCUGGAAUAGGUAGGUCUAGAAGCCCCAGAAGAAUAAUUUUAGAAAGAAGCACGUUGCAUCCUAUAGAUAAUGAUACAAUCACUACAGAUUUUAAAAGUAUUCUAGAAAGAGCAAACAGCUAGAAGUAUAUAUGCUUUCAGUAGUACUUAAGGAAAGUAGAUUCACAAUUUGGAAUAUCUACCGCUUUUACUCAAAAAAUAUUCAAUAAUGAUAAAUAUUUGAGUUAAUUAAAAAUUAAUUUCAAUUUAAAUUGAUUGAUGAGAGUAAUGAUGAUAUUAUUUUCAAUUAUACAAUUAUAGAUAAUAGUCUAAGAUCCCACCGUUUGAUCUUGCAGGUAUCUGUUUUUCAUAAAAUUAAUUUUAAAGGAAUCAUGAGGAUGUAUGGAUUGGAUUAAGGAUAGGUUGCCUUGUAAAAAUUAGCCGAAAUUACCUGUAAUUAAUUUUAAUGUCAUUAAUAUCCUUAUAUGACUUGCAGCUAUAUGUUUUUUCAGUCAAUCUUACAGCAUUUGAAAGAAAAUGUUGUCACAAAUCAAAAUAAAAAUGGUUGCCAGCUCUCAGUCGGCCGCAACAUUAGGGUUGCCAGGUGUAAACAGGUAUAUUAUUGUUAAUUAACUCCAUUCACCAGCUUUUUUUUUAAUUUUUAUGCAAAAUUAAAGUUUUAUAUACAUUGAACAUGAAAAUCCAUGGUUGCCAGAUGCACAAUGGCUGCAAACAGAGGUUGCCAUGAUUUUUGUGAACGACUCUCGCUCCAGGUAAGUGCAAGAGAGAAGAUGCACGCAAUGCUACGGCGGCCUGAGAGCUGGCAACCAUUUUUAUUUUGAUUGGUGACAUCAUUUUCUUUCAAAUGCUAUAAGAUUGACUGAAAAAACAUAUAGCUGCAAGUCAUAUUAGUAUAUUAAUGACAAUAAAAUUAAUUACAGGUAAUUGCGGCUAAGUUUUACAAGGCAACCAAUCCUUAAUCCAUUCCAUACAUCCUCAAGAUGCCUUUAAAAUUAAUUUCAUCAAAAAAACAGAUACCUGCAAAAUGAAGUGUGGGGAUCUUAGACUAUAAACCCAAAUACACAAUUAUUAUAUCAUAUGUUAUAAUUUAAUAAAAGAAUAUUUUGGUUAUUA
Molecule: RNA transcript, 2038 nt
Organism: Diorhabda carinulata
Lineage: Eukaryota; Metazoa; Arthropoda; Insecta; Coleoptera; Chrysomelidae
Exons: 6
Source: RefSeq, a predicted model, not a curated record